AACUGGAGAAGUGGUAAGAGUUUCUGUCACUGAUGAGACAGUGGAUCAUCUCCUGAAGGAGGCUGGUGAGGCUAUCUGCCAGGAGGUUCCACAGUCCAUCUGGAGAUGGACCAGUGCUGAUGGGGAUUGACAUAAUAUAUUAACAACCAAAGGAAUUUACAACUAUAAAGUCUCUGACACGGUAACAGGGCUUUCUGGAUGUAGGAUUCUAGGAGAAUGAGGGUUUAUUUCAAUUCUUCUACCCUUGGAUCAGCGUGAGCUUUCUCCACAACCUGGGAGCACGUACCUAUGACUGCUGGCAUUACUGGGCUCUGGCCACCCAAGCAACCCUCAGUCCCAGGGGCAGCCCUGAUGAUUGGCAGUCAUGCAGAGCUUAGUUGCUAGAAGCUCCCUCUGAGUGAGAAUUUAUAUCUGUGUAGUUCACAAAUGUAGCUCAAACCGAUUUAA
This is a long non-coding RNA of Leopardus geoffroyi (Geoffroy's cat), 447 nucleotides long. RefSeq lists it as uncharacterized. The transcript has 3 exons. The record is from RefSeq and is a predicted model, not a curated record. NCBI's taxonomy places the organism in Eukaryota, Metazoa, Chordata, Mammalia, Carnivora, Felidae.